RNAcentral lists this ribosomal RNA (377 nucleotides) under Praon volucre. RNAcentral's name for it is "partial 16S ribosomal RNA". The record is from RNAcentral. Lineage: Eukaryota; Metazoa; Arthropoda; Insecta; Hymenoptera; Braconidae.
UCUUAUUGAUUAUAAUUUUAAGUCUAAUCUGCCCAAUGAUAUUUUAUUUAAUGGCUGCAGUAUUUAUAACUGUACAAAGGUAGCAUAAUAAUUAGUUUUUUAAUUGAAAACUAGAAUGAAAGAUUAAAUGAAAUAUAUACUAUAUAAAUAAAAUUAAAAAUUAAAAUUAAAAUUUAAGUAAAAAUUCUUAAAUUAUUUUAAAAGACGAGAAGACCCUAUAGAAUUUUAUUUUUUAUUAUUUUAAGAUUUAAUAAUAAAUUUAAAUAAAUAAUAAAAAAUUUAAUUGGGGUAAUUUUAAAAUUAAAUUAAUUUUUAUUUAAAAAACAUAAAUUAAUGAAUUUUUAAUCCUAAAAUUUAGAUUAAAAAAAUAAAUUACC